CCUACGGGAGGCAGCAGUGGGGAAUCUUGCGCAAUGGGCGAAAGCCUGACGCAGCCAUGCCGCGUGUAUGAUGAAGGUCUUAGGAUUGUAAAAUACUUUCACCGGUGAAGAUAAUGACUGUAGCCGGAGAAGAAGCCCCGGCUAACUUCGUGCCAGCAGCCGCGGUAAUACGAAGGGGGCUAGCGUUGCUCGGAAUUACUGGGCGUAAAGGGAGCGUAGGCGGACAUUUAAGUCAGGGGUGAAAUCCCAGAGCUCAACUCUGGAACUGCCUUUGGUACUGGGUGUCUUGAGUGUGAGAGAGGUAUGUGGAACUCCGAGUGUAGAGGUGAAAUUCGUAGAUAUUCGGAAGAACACCAGUGGCGAAGGCGACAUACUGGCUCAUUACUGACGCUGAGGCUCGAAAGCGUGGGGAGCAAGCAGGAUUAGAUACCCUGGUAGUCCACGCCGUAAACGAUGAUUGCUAGUUGUCGGGAUGUUUACAUCUCGGUGACGCAGCUAACGCAUUAAGCAANCGCCGNGGAGUACGGUCGCAGAUAAACUACAAUAGAAGUAGAGCGUGAGAGNGCGACGGACGACGACGAGGGAGGAGG
Molecule: ribosomal RNA, 590 nt
Filed under: uncultured bacterium
Lineage: Bacteria
Description: bacterial SSU rRNA
Rfam family: Bacterial small subunit ribosomal RNA
Source: RNAcentral